This is a non-coding RNA of Characodon lateralis, 99 nucleotides long. The record is from the annotation of a GenBank genome assembly. Lineage: Eukaryota; Metazoa; Chordata; Actinopteri; Cyprinodontiformes; Goodeidae.
GGCACGGUGCUGGUGCAGUGGUAGAGUACACGGCCCUUGUAUAGAGAGGCCUUGGCCCUUGACCACGGCUGUCUUCUGGUUCGAGUCCCAGCCAUGCCA